ACAUUAAGUUUUCAUUUUCACUUAGAAAAAUGAAAGUCGUCAAGUCACUCAGAUCCAGUACAUAGCUUGGCCUGACCACGGAGUUCCCGAUGAUUCAAGUGACUUCUUGGAUUUUGUUUGUCAUGUCCGAAAUAAAAGGGCUGGCAAGGAAGAACCUAUUGUUGUUCAUUGCAGUGCUGGAAUUGGAAGAACGGGAGUUCUUAUCACUAUGGAAACAGCCAUGUGUCUCAUUGAAUGCAAUCAGCCAGUUUAUCCAUUAGACAUUGUGAGAACAAUGAGAGAUCAACGAGCCAUGAUGAUCCAAACACCUAGUCAGUACAGAUUUGUGUGUGAAGCUAUUUUGAAAGUUUAUGAAGAAGGCUUUAUUAAACCCUUAACAUCAACAAAUAAAUGAGAAAGCAAAAGAUUUGGAAUAUGUGUUGGAAAACUGCUUUUCAUUAUAUUCACUGUGCCAUAAUACUGCUCACAGGAAAUGGCAUCUAACAAAAGAAAAAAAUGAAGAACUCAAAAAAACUUUUGAAAACUUGAGCACUGUUGCACUUUAUGUUUUAAAAAAAAGUCACUCUUUCAAAAUCUGUAACUCAUGUGUUUGAAGACUAUUUCAUGCUUUGCUCCGAACAAAAAGUGAAUAACUGAGUAAGUUCAGGGUAAUGUAUGAAAUUCUGUGGUGGUGCCAUGCAGUCCCUUUCUGGUAGAAUUGCCAAACAAGGCUCUGAAUUCUCAUCAUCUCUGCUAUACGUCUGUAUCUUGAAAGCAAAAAGAAGCAAACGUCAGGAGUCAGCUCUGGUCUUUUCCAGCAGUUCAUGUACUUAACACUGAUAACCAGAUUUUAUUUUUUGAAUUUUAGCAAUAUCAUUCUCAAUAUUAGCCAGUACACUGCCUAUGGAUGCAGCACAUCUUUCCCUACACGUCCCCUGUAGAGACCUGCUGUUCAGAAGAAGAAAGGCGGAAUUUGCUGUUCCCAGGAAAUGCUGCAUAUUGUCCAUUUACCAGCAUCUUCUAGAAAGUAUAAAUAUGAAUCUACAAAUUUUCUUGGAUUUAAUAAUGUAACCUAUAUUUAUCAUAAGGUUGGCUUAUUCCAAAUCAUGUGACUUCACAUACUUGAUGUAAAGGAAUGCAUGCAUUGUGUCUUAACCCCGUAAGUGCCUUGAGACAUCUUUGUAUGUCUAAUGAAAAGGCACUCAUUUGACCCUACUAGGAGGUAUGUGUGUAUAUUGUACAUUCUUACAUUUUUAUGCAUUUUGAAUGAGUUAACAUUUUUAAAAACAGCUUCUUGUAUUGAGAGUUAUGCAGUCAAAGAAGAGUAAGGAAAUUCUUCUUAGUACUUGUAUUUUGCUAUAAGAAGCAAAGAUAAUUUGUGCUACUGAGUGUGUGCUCUGCUGCUAUGGAAUGAUUCAGAAUCUGCACAUUCCGUCACUGAGGGACAGGGAUUACAGUUUAUCAGCUCAGCUUAAAAAGAUGCUUUAUUCAGAUGCCAUAUUUAUUUUACUCCCAACUUUACGAAUGAUGUCUGACCUACAAAGUAGGGUUAAACUUAGUAAUACCCUGAGCCAAAGUUAGGGAACGAUUAGUUCAUUGUGAUUCAUUCCCAUCUAUAAUGAAAUGGUUAAUCUGCAAUUGAUGUCAGUGCUGUCAACAUUCUUUACACUGUUUGGGAUUCUCUUAAGUGAGGAAUAAAAUAGCUGAAUAAUUUAUAAUGUUCAUCCCUAAUAACUAAAAUUAAGAUUUUCUUGUCCUGUAUACCUGCCAGAUUGUAAGCAUGUUGAGAAAGCGACUUGGAUGAUCCAGUGUGAUCAGGACCUGCUGAACAAGGAUCUGAUCCCAUCAACAAUGUGUAUAUUUUCCUCUUCAGGCUUUUUUGUUUUUAAGUCGACAGAGAACUUUUACAUGGCCCAGUUUAACCUAAGCGAAAAUCUGGUCACCUUGUCAAAGUUGCUUACACAGUCACUUUACAUGGGUUGUGUUUAAAAUUGAUUGAUUUUUUUAAUGGUCUCUGAAUGGUUCUGUAUAGUCUUGAUAAAGUUUAGAAUGAAAUGGUAGAUCUUUUGGAAUGGUUUUUAGUAUAAGGGGAAAAUGUACAUUUACAAAUCUUCAUUGUAAUCUAAAUGACAUCAUUUCAUAUGACCAAAAUCCAUAAGGGAAAAUUUCAGGAAGUUAAGCUCCUAAACAUUAACAGCCACAAUACCAAAUAAAUUAUUAUAUUAAAAUAUUUUGUAUUUUAAAAGAAAGAUGGAAAUAUAAUUCCAUUAUUUCCUUUUAUCUAUUUCAUAAUCAACUCAAUAUAAGAUAGUAAAUUAAAUGUAGUCUUAUUUGAACAUUCCAUUCUCUACCAACAGAUAAAUGUAAUUUAGGUUGCUAUAAACUGACACAUUGAAAAGCGAAAAAGUAAAAUUCUGUUGAGGCCUAUAUAUUAAAUAAUAACUGUUUGGGCAGUUUUUUAUCUGAUUAAAUGUCCAUAACAGAAUGGAAACUAUGACAGCUAUAGGUAAAAAGAUGAUGGUGAUGUAAUUGUAAACAGAUGGCCUAAGUGGCAAGUUCUCCAGGGCUUUGUUUCCCAUGCUAAAGUAGCUCAAAUUGCUGGCAAUGAGCACUGCUACCUUAAUGCUUGUCUUUCAAUGAUAAUGUAUUAGAAGUGUAGACAUAUGUUUAAAUGUCGCCAAUGUGGAUUUUUAAUCUCAGAGCCACUUCUUUAUGAGUAUUCUUGUGUAUAGAAAAGAUUCUUUUUUAGAAGUAUUAUUAUUAGGAUCUUAAAUUUAAGGUAUCCUUCACAACUGCUUAAGCUAAAUAUGCUACAUACAUGUUUCACUAUUUCCCCAACAGAGAAGACUAUCUAUUACAGUUUAGAGAGUUUUUGCUUUGUUUUGUUUUUUGCCUGCUUACCAAUUUAAAUGGUUUUCAUAUACAAAGUACUUUUCAACUCCAUUCUUACAAAUGUGCUGUUGUGUAAUUGAAUUCCAAAAUUGUUAGGCUACUCACCUGAUCCACUAGCUGUCCCUACCCAUCUCCAGCCCUGUGGCCCCACCCCUACCCCAUCCCACUGAGGAAAUUAGUGUUGACUUUAGUGGAAAUCAGUUAUCAGUUAAUCAAGGAGCUUUAGCCAAUUAAAUGUUUAGGGCAUCCUUUCCUCUGAUUUAGGAGGGGUUCUUUGCGUUUUCAUUCAAGUUGUUGGAGCAUUGGAUUUCUGGCAGCCCUGUAUGGAUAGGAUGAGGGAUAAUUUGGAUUAGACUUUACAUUCACAAGAAAACUUGUUGUGCUUGUUCAACCAGUGCACCCAUUCAAACAGAAGCCGAUUAAACAGGCUACAAAAGAACUUCUUUUAUCUGAGCUGCUAGGACAA
Long non-coding RNA from Ochotona princeps (American pika), 3337 nucleotides. RefSeq lists it as uncharacterized. The transcript has 3 exons. The record is from RefSeq and is a predicted model, not a curated record. Lineage: Eukaryota; Metazoa; Chordata; Mammalia; Lagomorpha; Ochotonidae.